UCUGUGUUCUGACAACAGGAUGGGGAUUCCCAUCUAUCCCGGGUACCUUGGCACUCAGAUAUACAGAAGAGAGCCUGUCACUAGGAUAAAGCCAAGGGGCUCUGAGCAAUGCCAGUACUGGACCAACCAUGCAGCAGGGGCCACUGAAAGCCUAAAAUGCUGGCGGUGUGGUCAGGGGGGUGCAGGAGCAGUCACAGGAGCUAGUCCAGCAGCACCCGGGUUCCUCCUUCCUGCCCCAAAGCACUGCAGAUUCCACCAGGCUCCACCCAGUACUGUCGCAGGCCCUCUGCCAAGAAGCUCAUGAGAGGCCCUUCCCUUCACUCUGGUCCUCACUGCCACUGUCCUACAUCUCAAGCCCCCUGCUCUCUUUCCCUGUGAACAACUGAAGAAGCUGCUUCCGGCUUUAGUACUGACAAAAAUAAUAAAUGGAGAUUUUGGAUUGAGCACCCAA
Molecule: long non-coding RNA, 451 nt
Filed under: Rattus norvegicus (Norway rat)
Lineage: Eukaryota; Metazoa; Chordata; Mammalia; Rodentia; Muridae
Description: long non-coding RNA NONRATT018375
Source: RNAcentral